AGCGUUUGACAUGGGACGUAUGGUUACCAGAGAUGGUUUCCUUCACUUCGGGUGGCGUCCACACAGGUGCUGCAUGGCUGUCGUCAGCUCGUGUCGUGAGAUGUUGGGUUAAGUCCCGCAACGAGCGCAACCCUCACCUUCAGUUGCCAUCAUUUAGUUGGGCACUCUGAAGGAACUGCCGGUGACAAGCCGGAGGAAGGUGGGGAUGACGUCAAGUCCUCAUGGCCCUUACGCGCUGGGCUACACACGUGCUACAAUGGUGGUGACAAUGGGUCGCAAGCGUGCGAACGCAAGCUAAUCUCCAAAAGCCAUCUCAGUUCGGAUUGCACUCUGCAACUCGAGUGCAUGAAGUCGGAAUCGCUAGUAAUCGUGGAUCAGCAUGCCACGGUGAAUACGUUCCC
RNAcentral lists this ribosomal RNA (401 nucleotides) under uncultured Alphaproteobacteria bacterium. RNAcentral describes it as "bacterial SSU rRNA". It matches the Rfam family "Bacterial small subunit ribosomal RNA", at positions 976 to 1375 of the family's 1533-position model. The record is from RNAcentral. Lineage: Bacteria; Pseudomonadati; Pseudomonadota; Alphaproteobacteria.